GAGUUUCACGCUUUAUCUGCAUGUUUGCUUCUAAAGCCAGUCCAAGCAAGAAUUCUUGGACAAGAUGGAAGGCGCUGGGGUGAAAGCUCAAAGUGCCCUGCAGAGAAAAUCUGUUCUUAUUCUGUGUUUCCUCCCAGAAGCACCGAAGGUAAGUAAGGCUCAUCAGUGGUGGGGACCAAGCUCCCAGAAUUUCCGAGGGAGGUGAGCGAGUGCAGGGCACAGGGCGGGCAGGGACCCUGGGAAUCUUGGUUCCGAGGAAGUUCAGUCGGUCAGCUUACCAGUGCAGCCAGCAUUAAACCAAGAAGGAUAAUGGAAGUAGGCGUGCUCAAGUCUGCCUUGACUCUCUUAUUUUGGAAACCUACCUGAGCAUUUCCCCCCUCACGGCUUCUCCUUAAUAAUUAUUCCAGCUCAUCCAGAUUGUCCUUACUAAGACUAGGCUGGUGUCAUGUGCUUGUGACCUGUGCAGUUGUAGUCAUGAAAUUCUCAAUUAUUUUGUCUUGGAACCUGUUUUUUUAAGUACAUGAAGUCGACAGGACAGUGAAGUAUGCACGUGAGCAGAAGAAAUACAUGCAAUGCCCCUACCUGCUGCUGACCUUGGCUCCCAUGUACACACAGCUCUGGGGGUGCGUGCUGCAGGGGUUUUCCUUUACCUAGAAUAAUACUAAAUAGCAAAUUCAAAACACUGCCACAAGUCAGGAGAGACACCAUGGAAGAGAAGAUAAAACUUUAUUUUUAGUGUCUUUAGUGACACUUUUCCUGGCUUUUUGAACAAAGCACCUUUCAUUUUCAUGUCCUACGAGGCCCUACAAAUUAUAUAUACCCUGAUUAAGGCAUUUGUCUGAGCGCUCUUCCCUGACCAUAAUUUCCCAUGUGGCAGACACUAAGAUUCACUACUACUCACCUCCAGGUGACAUGCACAGAGAGAGCUGUUGUUGCAUAGAAAACAGCUACCAAUUUAAUUGCACGAGAAAGCAAUCCAGGGCCUCCAUUUUGAGCACUCAGGUAAAACCCAGACAGGGGACCUUGGCAGAGUCGGAGGUUUCCCACCUGACGCUGGGCCUUGGGAACUUCAUGCUUGUAAGAGCCCACGUGAUAGUUGGGUCUGCAGACGGUCAGAGUGAGGGGCACAUGCCGUCACGGGGAGACCAAGGCGAGGGGCAAGGUCACCCUUCCUGAAUGCAGGCGACAAGUGUCCAGAGAACCUGCUGCCCCUAAAGGCAGGUGGUCUAAGAAGAUGUGGAAGUGGAGCAUGGUGAUACCACCACUCACUAGAAAAGGGGGGCCGACGGACCAGAUGGGCUGCUCCCUCCCCUUCCUGCGAGCAGGAACGAGUAAGUGGGUGAGACGACACAAGUGCCUCUCCAGGUCUUUCCCAGGACAGAGGAGACAGCCACGAGUGCUGGUGGUUCCCUUUUAGGGAAAGAGGCCCAUGUUUCUUCCUACAAAGACCUGAAGUCAUCCAUACUGUGAAUAGUGUGUGUCUACAAUUUACUGGGGUUGAAAAACAAAGCUGCCUUCCGUUCUGCUUGUUGCAACUGGAGUCUUCGGAGCAUGGCCUUUCUUUCUGGGCACGAGGUCUUGGUGGUAGAAAAAAUAAAUUGGCAAUCACGCAGAACUGACUGCCCAGAUUUUCCCCAUGGAAGGGAACUGAGAGCAUGAUGCUGAAUAAAGCACCCAUCCCAGGAAAGGCCACCCAUGGGUUUGGGUUUGGGUUCUUCAACUGCACGGAGUACUUUCCAGGUUAAUGUGGCUUUGCACCCUGAGAAUAACAAUAAGAGUCAGACACAUGUCAUGGUGGGGCCUCGUAGAUUCACCUGGAAGAGGGCAGGGGACCUGAUUCCUCCAGGGAUGGUGCAGGGAACAGGGGGGACAGUCUGAAGUCUCAUCUCAGAGAUUAGUUACCAUCAAUUUUUAGUUCUUUGCUCUCCUACUCAAGAUAAGUUCCUCCCUUCCUGAUGGCUCUGCUGAGGCUUCCACUUUGGUGCAAAGGCCUUGGGAGGUGUAGGGGGGGGGGUUGGGUGGUGCAGAGAGGGAUGCUAGGGCUCACUCACCCCUGGAGAAUUGACUUCUGUCAGUGGGCUCAGUUUCCUUCUGCUUUGGAGGAUCAGUAUAGGUGCUGACCCUCUUCUCUUUGUCUGACAUGGGCAGUGCAGUGAAAAGCAGUUUCUGGCCACCUGGAGGAAGGGCCACCUGAAGCCACACCUGUCCAGGAAGCUGAGUUUUGAAUGGGGACAGGGUGCGAGAGGGCAUUCGUAAUAUCCUGUGUUGGCCCGCUGAGGUCCCUCUUUCAGCUGCCACUUAAGAAUGGAAUGUGCUCCAGAGGGCAGCAGGUGGGAAGACACAAAGGCCCCUUGUCUGAGCUCGUGCCCACAUGUGGGGUCUCCUAGAAGGCAUCUCCAGAGGGCUGGAGCUCAUGGCCCUGAGGCCAGCCACAGACAGAUGCUAGGCCUGGCCCUCGAGCAGGGUAAAGGGUACAGCCAGAAAGGAGGUGAGGCUGGAGGGCUGGGCGUGUGAGCGCUGGUGGGGGGGUGGUGGGGGAGGAGUGGACCCAGCCUAUUCUUUCUCCACCCUCUUGCAUUUGCUCCUCUGACAGGGCUGGAGGGAUCGGUUCUCUCUGCCUGGAAGGAAUGAAAAGGCGUAUUGUGCAAUGAUGGAGAGUCUGGUUGCCAGCCAGGAUUCAGUGCUGCAAAGGAGAGGAGAAAGGCAGAGCAAGAGGAGGCAGGGCAAGGAGGCCCGGAGAGAUAGCGGGAGGAAGGGAGGAGGGAGAGAGGCCAGGCUGUAGCCGGUCACAGCCGGCUGGCUGGGACAGGGUGGCCUGGGUUGUUGAGGCUCCUGGGUCCACAGGUGUGGGGCCUGAGGGGAGAAGGGGGGUCAGAAGGGAGGGAGGCGCUGUUAUCUUACCCAGAUGCACGUGCUUCUGCAAGGCAGAGGGUCAGAACUUCAGACUAUUUAUUUAAUCCCUUGGAAUGUCCUUCCCUCGCUCUGAUCUUUGGGCCCCUUGUGUUUCACGAACCCCUUUACAGGCACAUGUGUGGUAAUUAACACGUGCAGCGUGGGUCCUGGCCAUGUGUUUGAGUUUCAAAUAUCCAUUGAUCUGGGGCGCUCCCAUCCUGGCCACCCCUCCCCUUCUGCUCCAUUGGUCCUCGCCCUUGAGGAGCGAUGGAAGGGGCCUGUGUGUGUUUGGAGGGUGGGGGACACAUGUGCAUCCACAUGUAUUUUAUUGAGGCUCCAGAGGAAUGUCAGAGCAGGGGAACAGGCCCCCAGCAGCCCCCUAAGCUUUGAUGAUCUGCUGCUGCUAAACCAGUUGAAAGCCGCAGAAGUUGCAGUAGAGGUGAAUUUUUGGUUACAACCAAAGGAGUCUGAAGAAUGGCUGGGAGGCAAAUGUCUUUAGAGAUCAUGCAUGUAUCCCAAGUAGCUUUUCCUGGCUGUCCAGGACUUGUGGCUUUUCCUGUGGUGCCUUUUUGGGGAGUCUUGAUGAUAAUGAAUGUGUGUGAUUUCGGGAGCCUUUGGGAGAACUGAACACAGACAGGACUGGUCCUGGGCUUCAUCGCUUGUAAGGUGUCAGAGGGAAGUUCUCAGCUUCCAGCAGGGUGAUGGGGGAUGAGGGCGGUGGGUGGCGUGGUGAAAAUGAUUACAUGAAAGAAUAAGGGGAGAACAUUUAUAAAAUGAUCACUGGCAGUUGUCUGGGAGUUUUUUUUUCUUCUGAGUACCCAGGAUUUUAGAGACUUUGGGGUGCUGCUUCUAUAAAUGGAAAGUGAGUUUUGGGGCCAUCAGGAGUUUUCUGUGGGUUGCCCUUUUCCUACUUGUAAGAAGUGUGGGAGUUAGCCAUUUAAGGAAAGUGAGGUGAAAAAUUAAAAACAUGAGCAGACUUUGCAAACAUUUUUUUGCACGGGCUUCUGUGUUUGUCAAGCCAGUCUUGGAAAGGGGCUGAAUUUCCAAAACCCGACUCACCUUUACUUUGCAGAGACUGUGGUUUUAGUUUUGCUUUGUUGUUUGUUUGUUUUUUUAAAUCCUUCCCUGGCUGCUCCAAUAGUAUGUGCUCUAGGUAAAGAGUGAGUCACAGUCAUUUCCCUCUUUUUGUCCCUAUCUUUAGAACUUCUCAUGGAGGCUGGUCUAGAGAUUGGUACCAACUUGGAGUCUUGUCACUCAAGUGAUGGACUGGGCAGUGCCCUCAGUGGUGCUGAGGGGUGUGCUUAGGGUAGGGGUGAUGGACGGCAGGCACCCCAGAGGAAGGGAACUGUGUGGCUGCCAGCCUCAGCCCUCCUAGUUAGCACACCUGAAGGAGGCUUGCCUCAUUGCCCUGAGCCUGGCUGAGGUGUGCAGGCUGGCUGUCUCAGGACACUGUACCUGUAAGUCUGGUUACCCGCCAGCAGGGGCUGGAGUUGCAUGGAGAUGGGCAGCUGAUGACCUGUACGGGUUGGCUUCUGCACACACUGAAUUUCCCUGUGGAGAUGCAUUCUCAUUCUGAUACUGGGCCUGCUGAACAGAGAGGCCCAAUGGCUCCAAGCCCAUGAGAGGCAGCUCUUUGCUCCCUGCACACAUUUUGCUGCUGCUCGCUGGUGCUCUGAACCACCCCGACCAAGCCUGGCAUAUCUGUGUGCCAGCUUUGCAGAGAUUAUUUGAAGAAGAGGUUGGCACAAGUGUGCGUGAGCACUCACGCAUGCUCCCUCCUUCCCACUGUUAAGUACUCCCCCAGCUUGGCUCCACCUGUUCAACCCCCUGCCCUUCAUUGUGCACCCUUAUUCUGGGGUCCCCAAAAGGAAGCUUAUGCAUGGAAGAUACAAAAUUAAGAGUUUGAAUCCCGGCCAUAUCCACAUUUCCAAGAACUGGAGAAAACAAAUGGAGUAUAGUGAUCUGGAAGAGCCUCCUAGUCAUAGAUUCUUAUGUAUCCCUGGUGUUAUUGGUAACCAGUGAUUUUUUAUCUGGUUCUUUUAUUCUUUAAUUCAGCAAAUACUUAUUGAGAACUUACUGAGUGCCAGGCUUGUUACUGUCACCAAGGACCCAGUGACAAGUAAACUGAUAAGAGUCCCAGCCUCACCUUGUAGGGCUCA
Molecule: long non-coding RNA, 5051 nt
Organism: Phyllostomus discolor (pale spear-nosed bat)
Lineage: Eukaryota; Metazoa; Chordata; Mammalia; Chiroptera; Phyllostomidae
Exons: 2
Source: RefSeq, a predicted model, not a curated record